UACGGAGGGUGCAAGCGUUAUCCGGAUUCACUGGGUUUAAAGGGUGCGUAGGCGGGUUGGUAAGUCAGUGGUGAAAUCUCCGAGCUUAACUUGGAAACUGCCAUUGAUACUAUCAGUCUUGAAUAUUGUGGAGGUCAGCGGAAUAUGUCAUGUAGCGGUGAAAUGCUUAGAUAUGACAUAGAACACCAAUUGCGAAGGCAGCUGGCUACACAUAUAUUGACACUGAGGCACGAAAGCGUGGGGAUCAAACAGG
RNAcentral lists this ribosomal RNA (253 nucleotides) under uncultured bacterium. RNAcentral describes it as "partial 16S ribosomal RNA". It matches the Rfam family "Bacterial small subunit ribosomal RNA", at positions 524 to 776 of the family's 1533-position model. The record is from RNAcentral.